RNAcentral lists this ribosomal RNA (135 nucleotides) under Priestia megaterium. Its description in RNAcentral is "Bacillus megaterium partial 23S ribosomal RNA". It matches the Rfam family "Bacterial large subunit ribosomal RNA", at positions 2792 to 2925 of the family's 2925-position model. Lineage: Bacteria; Bacillati; Bacillota; Bacilli; Caryophanales; Bacillaceae. The record is from RNAcentral.
GCCCCCCUCAAGAUGAGAUUUCCCAUAGCGCAAGCUAGUAAGAUCCCUGAAAGAUGAUCAGGUUGAUAGGUCAGAGGUGGAAGCGUGGCGACAUGUGUAGCUGACUGAUACUAAUCGAUCGAGGACUUAACCAAA